UGAGUACGAGAUGCUACGGCAUCGAAGCAGUCUAUGUCAUACUUCCAAGAAAAGCUUGCACUGUCAGAAACAUAUAAUGCCUGUACCAUAACCGACACAGGUGGGUAGGUAGAGUAUACUAAGGGGCGCGAGAUAACUCUCUCUAAGGAACUCGGCAAAAUGACUCCGUAACUUCGGGAGAAGGAGUGCCUUAUUUUUAAGGUUGCAAUAACAAGAUCCAAGCAACUGUUUACCAAAAACACAGGUCUCCGCUAAGUCGUAAGACGAUGUAUGGGGGCUGACGCCUGCCCAGUGCCAGAAGGUUAAAGAAGUCGGUUAGCAUUCGCGAAGCUGGUAACUGAAGCCCUGGUGAACGGCGGCCGUAACGAUAACGGUCCUAAGGUAGCGAAAUUCCUUGUCGGGUAAGUUCCGACCCGCACGAAAGGCGUAAUGAUUUGGAUACUGUCUCGGAGAGGGGCUCGGUGAAAUAGACUUGUCUGUGAAGAUGCGGACUACCUGCACCUGGACAGAAAGACCCUAUGAAGCUUUACUGUAACUUGAAAUUGAAAUUGGACUUUAUUUGCGCAGUAUAGGUGGGAGGCGUUGAAAAUAUUCUUGCGGGAAUAUUGGAGCCAUCAGUGAGAUACCACUCUUGUAAUGUUAGAUUUCUAACUUUAUAUCAUUAUCUGGUUAAAGAACAGUUUCAGGCGGGCAGUUUGACUGGGGCGGUCGCCUCCCAAAUGGUAACGGAGGCGCACAAAGGUUUCCUCUGAACGGGUAGAAAUCGUAUCUAGAGUGUAAAGGCAUAAGGAAGCUUGACUGUGAGACCUACAAGUCGAGCAGGGACGAAAGUCGGUCUUAGUGAUCUGACGGUGCUGAGUGGAAAGGCCGUUACUCAACGGAUAAAAGUUACUCUAGGAUAACAGGCUGAUCUCCCCCAAGAGUUCACAUCGACGGGGAGGUUUGGCACCUCGAUGUCGGCUCAUCGCAUCCUGGGGCGGUAGUACGUCCCAAGGGUUGGGCUGUUCGCCCAUGAAAGCGGUACGCGAGCUGGGUUCAGAACGUCGUGAGACAGUUCGGUCCAUAUCCGGUGUAGGCGUUAGAAUAUUGAGAGGAGCCUUCUUUAGUACGAGAGGACCGAGAAGGACAUACCUCUGGUGUACCAGUUAUCGUGCCAACGGUAAACGCUGGGUAGCUAUGUAUGGAGUGAAUAACCGCUGAAAGCAUCUAAGUGGGAAGCCCACCUCAAGAUAAGUAUUCUCAU
This 1243-nucleotide ribosomal RNA is filed under the name metagenome. Its description in RNAcentral is "bacterial LSU rRNA". It matches the Rfam family "Bacterial large subunit ribosomal RNA", at positions 1564 to 2817 of the family's 2925-position model. The record is from RNAcentral.